AUUUUGCGCAGUUUGCAUUUGCUCGAAGUGAGGUUUUAAAAAUGAAUUUGCUAUUAAAUUUAGCAGUGGACAACUUGGAAAUUAACGACAGCGUCUUGUUAUUAAAAUAUAAAAAAUCAAGGAGUCAAAGCUUUCGGAAAAGAAAGUGGCUUAUGACCGAAAUUUUAAGGAAGAGGACAGUGGCAAAAUCGGCAAAUUUCUUCAAAACAAUUCAGUUGUAUCCGGACGAUAUAUAUUUCACGCAUUUUCGGAUGCCCCGCGAAACAUUUGCUGAAUUAAAGAACGCCUUAAAACCUUUUUGAUCAACGGCACGCGGUGAAUAUUCAUUGGAUGAUGCUUUAUAUAUCACACUGUGGAAGCUAAGCAACAGUAGAGUGACUUAUCGCGAGCUAUCAGACAAAUUUGAUGUUGCAAAGGGAACUGACCAUAAAAUUUUUCUUAAAACCGUCCGGGCAAUCUGCAAGCUUACAAAUGAAAUACGUUGGCCAUCAGUUUCGCAGCAGCAGGAAAUCAUGGAGCAUUUCCAAACGAGCCGGGUGAAUACAUUUCCUUUUGUAGUCGGUUGUUUGGACGGAACGCAUUUUAAAAUAAACACACCAAAAACGGAUGCAAUAAGCUACUAUGACCGAAAGGGGAACCAUUCAAUUCAGGCUAUAUGCGACAGUAAAUUUAGUUUUUUGGAUGUUUUUAUCGGCUACCCAGGCAGCUGCCAUGAUGCCAACGUAUGGAAAAAUAGUCCAAUAUACAAAGGAAUUACGUCUGGACGGGUGGAACUCGCAAAAGAUGCAAUAAUUUUAGCCGACUCAGCCUAUCCUCUAUCAAAAUAUUUGAUCGCGCCUUAUAGAGACAAUGGACAUCUGUCCAGAGAGGAGAAACAAUUUAAUUAUUAUUUAAGUUCAACUAAAGUGUUCAUUGAGCAAACCUUUGGAAUUUUGAGAGGAAAAUUCAAAAUUUUAAAUCACAUUGAUGUUCGAAAUAUGAGAGACGUAUCGAAUGUUAUUAUUAUUAGCUUGUGCAACUUUGCAUAAUUUUAUAUUGCGAGACAAUUUUGAAGUUAAUCAUCCAUUGGAAAAUUCGGAAACUUUGAUAGAUCAGGAUGCCGAAAUGGCUGAAAACAUAAAUGAUACUAACG
RNA transcript from Rhagoletis zephyria (snowberry fruit fly), 1132 nucleotides. RefSeq lists it as uncharacterized. Lineage: Eukaryota; Metazoa; Arthropoda; Insecta; Diptera; Tephritidae. The record is from RefSeq and is a predicted model, not a curated record.